Molecule: long non-coding RNA, 1523 nt
Filed under: Monodelphis domestica (gray short-tailed opossum)
Lineage: Eukaryota; Metazoa; Chordata; Mammalia; Didelphimorphia; Didelphidae
Description: lncRNA (ENSMODG00000044505.1)
Source: RNAcentral
GCAGUAGUUACUCAUGACUGCUCCUUAUCUCUCUCUCUGUCUCUUUCUGUCUCUCUCUGUCUCUCUGUCUCUGUCUCUCUGUGUCUCUCUCUGUCUCUCUGUGUCUCUCUGUGUCUCUGUGUCUCUGUCUCUGUGUCUCUGUCUCUGUCUCUCUGUCUCUCUGUCUCUGUCUCUGUAUCUGUCUCUCUCUCUCUGUCUCUCUCUCUCUCUGUCUCUCUGUCUCUGUCUCUGUCUCUGUCUCUGUCUCUGUCUCUGUCUCUGUCUCUGUAUCUGUCUCUCUCUCUCUCUCUCUCUCUCUCUCUGUCUCUCUGUCUCUGUCUCUGUCUCUGUCUCUGUCUCUGUCUCUGUCUCUGUCUCUGUCUCUGUCUCUCUCUCUCUCUCUCUCUCUCUCUCUGUCUCUCUCUCUCUCUCUCUCUCUCUCUCUCUCUCUCUCUCUCUCUCUCUCUCUCUCUCUCUCUCUCUCUCUCUCUCUCUCUCUCUCUCUCCCCCCCCCUUACAUGUCUCUAUGGCCAACAAACUCUAGUAUGGAUUCAGUUUCUGAACCUUUCAAGUUCUCAUGGGGUUGCAUAAUUUUCUGUUCUAUAGCCAACCUUCAUUCCCCUAAGAGCAAGAAAGAACAAGGGCAAAAAGAGUGAGUCCCCUCCAACACCUGGAGGUCCACAGCAAUUCAUCUCCCACACUUGAAUGCAGCUGGGGAAGGAAAAAAGGGACCCCUUUGCCUGGUUGGCAUUCUUGUGUAAGCUCACUCUUUCUUGGCUCGGCAGAUAUCCAAAGGACCUUUUCUUUACCAUGUGGCAACCUAUCAUAUAUCUGUGAAUCUCUGAAUUCCUGAGAGAAUUUGAAUCAGGGACAGCACACUAUGGAUGUUCAUCAGGAACAGGAGUUCACUGGUCCAGUCCUCUGUUCCACUAAUCUAUGUAGCCCAAAUCUCUUUUAAAUUCCUAUAUGAUGGGUCUUUUUUUUUUUUAAACCCUUACUUUUCUGUCUUAAAAUCAAUACUGUGUGUUGGUUCUAAGGCAGAAGAGCAACAAGGGCUAGGCAAUGGAGGUUAAGUGACUUAUUCAGGGACACACAGUUAGGAAGUAUCUGAGGCCAUAUUUGAACUGAGGACCUUCGAUCUGUAGGUCUGGCUCUCAAUCUGCUGAGCCAUCCAACUGCCCCUGGUGAUGGGUCCUUUUUAAAGAAUUACAUGAUAGAUUCAGUGCCUACUAGUUUGGUUUACUUUGAUGCCCUAGAAGUAUUUCAAACUUCACAUGUUCAAAAUGAACUUGUAGUGUUUCCUGUAAAACUCAUCCGUCUUUCAAACUUUUCCAGUCUGUUGACAGCACUACCAUGUUUGUAGUCCCCUAAUUUUGCUACCUUGGAGUUGUCUUUGACCCUUUUCCUUCCUCAGUGCCCAUUUCCAGGCAGUUUUCAAGUCUUGACAAUUCUUCUACCACAACAUCCCCUUGAAUAAGUUCUUAUCUCUCCGUUCACACAAACUAUACAUUAGUCUGAGCUUUCAUCACCUCUUGUCUGGAGUC